RNAcentral lists this ribosomal RNA (550 nucleotides) under Odonaspis litorosa. RNAcentral's name for it is "partial 28S ribosomal RNA". The record is from RNAcentral. Lineage: Eukaryota; Metazoa; Arthropoda; Insecta; Hemiptera; Diaspididae.
AUCUGGGCGGCGGAAUUCAGGAUGGCGAGCGCGUUCUCGCGACGCGUUCGUCGUUUGAUAUUUCCGUCGCCGAUCUAACAAGCAGACGUCGCGACCUGUUCGCGGUCGGUCCCUGCUCGGAGGAGCCGCGUUCGAGUUUGUUGUGUGCGCGUUUACGCGCGUCACACGGCGAAGACGCGGAUCUCUGGCUGGCCGACGGACAGUACGUUAAAUGGUGUCCGAUGUCGCCGUCUCGUACGCGCGCGCAUCGGUACCGGUCGGCGACGAAUUCUUCGGGCCUCUUUCCGACCCGUCUUGAAACACGGACCAAGGAGUCUAACAUGCGCGCGAGUCGCGGGGUGUCGAGCGUACCACGGUGCGUUCGUUACGUAACGAAACCCGUACAUGUCGAAGGCGUAAUGAAAGUAAAUGGGGAAGAUGGUGUUCCGAGUACACGUUCCGCGGUCAUUGGUACCGCGGCCGGAAACCCGCAUUCCCGGGGCGUCUCUACGGCCCGUCGCGGAUGCGGACGGUCGUCUUUCGGGAUGGCCGUCGGUCUGCGACGAACCGA